This is a long non-coding RNA of Notolabrus celidotus (New Zealand spotty), 230 nucleotides long. RefSeq lists it as uncharacterized. Lineage: Eukaryota; Metazoa; Chordata; Actinopteri; Labriformes; Labridae. The record is from RefSeq and is a predicted model, not a curated record. The transcript has 2 exons.
CCUCCUUCCUGUGUGCUUGGUGAAGGUGUGGCUCAGGAGACACACCUGUGAGUGAUCUGAAUCAGCAGCACUACAAAUACCUGGUCCUCCUGCCACUUCAGUGCCGGAUUGUUCCUUCGCCACGGCGAUACUCCUGCUACCUGUUUUUCACCAGGCGUCUUGGAGCUGGCUUCCUGGAUAUUUUUGUUUUACUUCAGUUGUCUCCACAAUAAAUUGAUUGUACUCUUCAA